RNAcentral lists this ribosomal RNA (429 nucleotides) under Methylotenera sp. Its description in RNAcentral is "bacterial SSU rRNA". It matches the Rfam family "Bacterial small subunit ribosomal RNA", at positions 355 to 776 of the family's 1533-position model. Lineage: Bacteria; Pseudomonadati; Pseudomonadota; Betaproteobacteria; Nitrosomonadales; Methylophilaceae. The record is from RNAcentral.
UGGGGAAUUUUGGACAAUGGGCGCAAGCCUGAUCCAGCCAUUCCGCGUGAGUGAAGAAGGCCUUCGGGUUGUAAAGCUCUUUCGCAAGGGAAGAAAGAUUACUCUCUAACAUAGAGUGAUUAUGACGGUACCUUGAUAAGAAGCACCGGCUAACUACGUGCCAGCAGCCGCGGUAAUACGUAGGGUGCGAGCGUUAAUCGGAAUUACUGGGCGUAAAGCGUGCGCAGGCUGUUUUGUAAGUCAGAUGUGAAAUCCCUGAGCUCAACUUAGGAACUGCGUUUGAAACUACAAGACUAGAAUAUGUCAGAGGGGGGUAGAAUUCCACGUGUAGCAGUGAAAUGCGUAGAGAUGUGGAGGAAUACCAAUGGCGAAGGCAGCCCCCUGGGAUAAUAUUGACGCUCAUGCACGAAAGCGUGGGGAGCAAACAGG